CGGUCUCAGUUCGGAUUGGAGGCUGAAACUCGCCUCCAUGAAGUUGGAUUCGCUAGUAAUCGCGCAUCAGCCAUGGCGCGGUGAAUACGUUCCCGGGCCUUGUACACACCGCCCGUCAAGCCAUGGGAGUUGGGGGUGCCUGAAGUACGUGACCGCAAGGAGCGUCCUAGGGCAAAACCGAUGACUGGGGCUAAGUCGUAACAAGGUACC
This 210-nucleotide ribosomal RNA is filed under the name uncultured bacterium. RNAcentral's name for it is "partial 16S ribosomal RNA". It matches the Rfam family "Bacterial small subunit ribosomal RNA", at positions 1283 to 1500 of the family's 1533-position model. The record is from RNAcentral.